AGGCCUUAACAAUCAAUCCAGGUACAUAAAUUACAUGAACUAGCAUGUAUACAAUGUUUUUCAAAUGCAAACAAUGUUGUUUCUCUUCAGACACAAUCCCUAGAAAGUGCACAUAAAACGUGCAAACAUUAAGACAUUUUGUGCGUUGUAAACACAUAUGUACCGAUAUUACUCAAAACCUAAACCAGCUAACGUUAGAUCUCAAAAGUGUGUAUUGCCACACACUUUCUCUUAUGAAUAUUGUACUUGUGAUUUCUAAAAGUGUUUUUUCUGUAUAUUUUGUGUUACAGGAAACUUCCACCCAAGCAGACGUUGAGGCCCAGAUUUCCCUGCCAAGCACUCUUAAGACUCAUCAUGCUCGGAGAGUCCAUUCUGGGGGCAAAUAGGUGGAUGCUUUCCAUCGAGGGCAGAGUUCUCCAACCAAAUCCAACUGAGUGACCGUUCCAAAUUCACUUCUGCUCUGGCUGUGCUUUUUGCAUCAUACUAUAUAUUUAACAUGGAAUAUCCUGCGGAGGCAACCACUACAUUAGAAUUUAUCCAGAGGGUAGAAGACUCCAGCCCAGGAAAUUGACUAAUUCAGGCCCGUUUCUGAAGAAAAAUACAGUUCUGGGAGAAAAACAACAUUCAGGGACCAAAUUUAUACUGUUUGAAAUCCUGCUGUUUUUAAAUAAUUUCAUUUGCCUUUUAUACAUUCUAAUUUUAACCGAACAUUUUAAUACAUUUAAACAGGAUUGAUUUGUAUGUUCAGAAAAGUGUUGUUGUAUACAAAACGAAAUGAAAUGUUAACAAAAAAAUGUUUACCUAUUGAAGAUUUUUUUUUUUGCUAUGCUAUUUUUAUUUUAUGAAUUUAGA
This is a long non-coding RNA of Carassius carassius (crucian carp), 852 nucleotides long. RefSeq lists it as uncharacterized. NCBI's taxonomy places the organism in Eukaryota, Metazoa, Chordata, Actinopteri, Cypriniformes, Cyprinidae. The transcript has 3 exons. The record is from RefSeq and is a predicted model, not a curated record.